Molecule: ribosomal RNA, 1351 nt
Filed under: Escherichia coli
Lineage: Bacteria; Pseudomonadati; Pseudomonadota; Gammaproteobacteria; Enterobacterales; Enterobacteriaceae
Description: bacterial SSU rRNA
Rfam family: Bacterial small subunit ribosomal RNA
Source: RNAcentral
AGCUUGCUGCUUCGCUGACGAGUGGCGGACGGGUGAGUAAUGUCUGGGAAACUGCCUGAUGGAGGGGGAUAACUACUGGAAACGGUAGCUAAUACCGCAUAACGUCGCAAGACCAAAGAGGGGGACCUUCGGGCCUCUUGCCAUCGGAUGUGCCCAGAUGGGAUUAGCUAGUAGGUGGGGUAACGGCUCACCUAGGCGACGAUCCCUAGCUGGUCUGAGAGGAUGACCAGCCACACUGGAACUGAGACACGGUCCAGACUCCUACGGGAGGCAGCAGUGGGGAAUAUUGCACAAUGGGCGCAAGCCUGAUGCAGCCAUGCCGCGUGUAUGAAGAAGGCCUUCGGGUUGUAAAGUACUUUCAGCGGGGAGGAAGGGAGUAAAGUUAAUACCUUUGCUCAUUGACGUUACCCGCAGAAGAAGCACCGGCUAACUCCGUGCCAGCAGCCGCGGUAAUACGGAGGGUGCAAGCGUUUAAUCGGAAUUACUGGGCGUAAAGCGCACGCAGGCGGUUUGUUAAGUCAGAUGUGAAAUCCCCGGGCUCAACCUGGGAACUGCAUCUGAUACUGGCAAGCUUGAGUCUCGUAGAGGGGGGUAGAAUUCCAGGUGUAGCGGUGAAAUGCGUAGAGAUCUGGAGGAAUACCGGUGGCGAAGGCGGCCCCCUGGACGAAGACUGACGCUCAGGUGCGAAAGCGUGGGGAGCAAACAGGAUUAGAUACCCUGGUAGUCCACGCCGUAAACGAUGUCGACUUGGAGGUUGUGCCCUUGAGGCGUGGCUUCCGGAGCUAACGCGUUAAGUCGACCGCCUGGGGAGUACGGCCGCAAGGUUAAAACUCAAAUGAAUUGACGGGGGCCCGCACAAGCGGUGGAGCAUGUGGUUUAAUUCGAUGCAACGCGAAGAACCUUACCUGGUCUUGACAUCCACGGAAGUUUUCAGAGAUGAGAAUGUGCCUUCGGGAACCGUGAGACAGGUGCUGCAUGGCUGUCGUCAGCUCGUGUUGUGAAAUGUUGGGUUAAGUCCCGCAACGAGCGCAACCCUUAUCCUUUGUUGCCAGCGGUCCGGCCGGGAACUCAAAGGAGACUGCCAGUGAUAAACUGGAGGAAGGUGGGGAUGACGUCAAGUCAUCAUGGCCCUUACGACCAGGGCUACACACGUGCUACAAUGGCGCAUACAAAGAGAAGCGACCUCGCGAGAGCAAGCGGACCUCAUAAAGUGCGUCGUAGUCCGGAUUGGAGUCUGCAACUCGACUCCAUGAAGUCGGAAUCGCUAGUAAUCGUGGAUCAGAAUGCCACGGUGAAUACGUUCCCGGGCCUUGUACACACCGCCCGUCACACCAUGGGAGUGGGUUGCAAA